This 87-nucleotide transfer RNA is filed under the name Thiohalocapsa halophila. RNAcentral describes it as "tRNA-Leu". It matches the Rfam family "tRNA". From Rfam's summary of the family: Transfer RNA (tRNA) molecules are approximately 80 nucleotides in length. Their secondary structure includes four short double-helical elements and three loops (D, anti-codon, and T loops). The record is from RNAcentral. Lineage: Bacteria; Pseudomonadati; Pseudomonadota; Gammaproteobacteria; Chromatiales; Chromatiaceae. RNAcentral also lists the same sequence under 3 other names.
GCCGGGGUGGCGGAAUUGGUAGACGCAGUGGACUCAAAAUCCACCGGUGGCAACACCUUACGAGUUCGAGUCUCGUCCCCGGUACCA